GUGAAUCAUCGAAUUUUUGAACGCAAAUUGCACUCUUUUUGGAGAGUAUGCCCGUUCGAGGGUCAGUAAUAAUAAAAUCGGGGUGUUGCUCUUUUGUGACACAAUGGAGUUUGGGUUACCUUUGACUUUCGGGCUUAAGAGGUCUAAAAUUGAACUUUUUUGCGCAUUUUUAGAUGUACAUAGAUUUAUUUUUAUCGUCUAUUCUGGUGCAAAUUAUCUAUUAGGUGCGAUCAUGUUUAUAUGAUCACGUGCUCAUAAUUCUCAUCUUGUGACUUCAAUUCAGGU
RNAcentral lists this unclassified non-coding RNA (285 nucleotides) under Glomeraceae sp. RNAcentral describes it as "partial contains 5.8S ribosomal RNA and internal transcribed spacer 2". The stretch from base 1 to 65 matches the Rfam family "5.8S ribosomal RNA", at positions 84 to 154 of the family's 154-position model. The record is from RNAcentral. Lineage: Eukaryota; Fungi; Glomeromycota; Glomeromycetes; Glomerales; Glomeraceae.